RNAcentral lists this ribosomal RNA (1372 nucleotides) under uncultured bacterium. RNAcentral's name for it is "bacterial SSU rRNA". It matches the Rfam family "Bacterial small subunit ribosomal RNA", at positions 28 to 1381 of the family's 1533-position model. The record is from RNAcentral.
GAUGAACGCUGGCGGCGUGCCUAAUACAUGCAAGUCGAGCGAACGGACGAGAAGCUUGCUUCUCUGAUGUUAGCGGCGGACGGGUGAGUAACACGUGGAUAACCUACCUAUAAGACUGGGAUAACUUCGGGAAACCGGAGCUAAUACCGGAUAAUAUUUUGAACCGCAUGGUUCAAAAGUGAAAGACGGUCUUGCUGUCACUUAUAGAUGGAUCCGCGCUGCAUUAGCUAGUUGGUAAGGUAACGGCUUACCAAGGCAACGAUGCAUAGCCGACCUGAGAGGGUGAUCGGCCACACUGGAACUGAGACACGGUCCAGACUCCUACGGGAGGCAGCAGUAGGGAAUCUUCCGCAAUGGGCGAAAGCCUGACGGAGCAACGCCGCGUGAGUGAUGAAGGUCUUCGGAUCGUAAAACUCUGUUAUUAGGGAAGAACAUAUGUGUAAGUAACUGUGCACAUCUUGACGGUACCUAAUCAGAAAGCCACGGCUAACUACGUGCCAGCAGCCGCGGUAAUACGUAGGUGGCAAGCGUUAUCCGGAAUUAUUGGGCGUAAAGCGCGCGUAGGCGGUUUUUUAAGUCUGAUGUGAAAGCCCACGGCUCAACCGUGGAGGGUCAUUGGAAACUGGAAAACUUGAGUGCAGAAGAGGAAAGUGGAAUUCCAUGUGUAGCGGUGAAAUGCGCAGAGAUAUGGAGGAACACCAGUGGCGAAGGCGACUUUCUGGUCUGUAACUGACGCUGAUGUGCGAAAGCGUGGGGAUCAAACAGGAUUAGAUACCCUGGUAGUCCACGCCGUAAACGAUGAGUGCUAAGUGUUAGGGGGUUUCCGCCCCUUAGUGCUGCAGCUAACGCAUUAAGCACUCCGCCUGGGGAGUACGACCGCAAGGUUGAAACUCAAAGGAAUUGACGGGGACCCGCACAAGCGGUGGAGCAUGUGGUUUAAUUCGAAGCAACGCGAAGAACCUUACCAAAUCUUGACAUCCUUUGACAACUCUAGAGAUAGAGCCUUCCCCUUCGGGGGACAAAGUGACAGGUGGUGCAUGGUUGUCGUCAGCUCGUGUCGUGAGAUGUUGGGUUAAGUCCCGCAACGAGCGCAACCCUUAAGCUUAGUUGCCAUCAUUAAGUUGGGCACUCUAAGUUGACUGCCGGUGACAAACCGGAGGAAGGUGGGGAUGACGUCAAAUCAUCAUGCCCCUUAUGAUUUGGGCUACACACGUGCUACAAUGGACAAUACAAAGGGCAGCGAUACCGCGAGGUCAAGCAAAUCCCAUAAAGUCGUUCUCAGUUCGGAUUGUAGUCUGCAACUCGACUACAUGAAGCUGGAAUCGCUAGUAAUCGUAGAUCAGCAUGCUACGGUGAAUACGUUCCCGGGUCU